Molecule: long non-coding RNA, 3690 nt
Organism: Canis lupus familiaris (dog)
Lineage: Eukaryota; Metazoa; Chordata; Mammalia; Carnivora; Canidae
Exons: 4
Source: RefSeq, a predicted model, not a curated record
GUGACAGUGUGACAGUCUGGAGAUGAGGCUCCCUCACCUCCCUGGGAGACACCCUCAUUGGGGAAGGGGCAGCAGCAACACACACCCUCCGGACAGACCAGACGACACCAAAGAGGACAGAGAGCAACCGGCUCAGGAGGCCAGGCUGGAGAGGGGCUUGCUGCACACAGCGGAUGUGUCCUCUUGCCAAAGGAACCCUUGCAAGAGCUCAUCUCCUAGCGACUGGUUGCCCGCUCGGCCCUGCUCCUGCCUCCCUCCCCGUGGCCACCGGCCCGGCUCCUGGCAGGCCGGGGUUCAGCCUUCUGUUUACAUCUGGGCAGUCCUGGCCCCCGCGCACAAAGACCCACUGUGCCCAGGUUCACCGACUGUCUUUUGGUUCUCUGUGACCCUUGAUCGAGUUCCCUGGAAGGCGUUCCCGCAGCUUCCCCGCAGCACACUCCCGGGCAUCCCGCCCCGCGCGCCCCCAGCCCCGGCGGCGCCCGUGCAGCCCGCGGGGCCGUGGGAAGCGGGGGGCCGGGAGCCCACUCCGAGGCACAUCCUCUCCAUUUCUCCUCGCCCGCGAGAGUGACCCGUCUGCGGCCGCACAUUGUCGCCGAUUGUGGGAAAGGUUCCGCCAGCCUUUCCGCCGCUCGGGCCGCCCUAAUGAGGGAACAAUCGGGCGCCCCGGAGCUGCCGGCGGGGUCAGGCCCGGCGCCCCAGCCCCUGACAGCGCCAUAAAUUGGCCGCGCAAAGCCGAGCGCUAGGUGGUCCCGGGAGGAAAGAGCCGCCGCCGGGAGCGCGAAAAGGCGAGUCCGGGAGCCCGCCGGGGGGCCGGUGGCGUUCCCUCCAGAUCACCUUGUUGGAACCCAGGAGUAGCAGAGGAGGAGCACCGUGGCAUAAGGAAGAAGAAAACGUAGGUAGCCUCUCCAGGAAGCAAUGUGACCUCACAUUCUUCAUACAGAACCACAGAAUUUGAUAAAUACGCAUGUUGCUGAAAUAAUACAUUAAAAAGAGAAAGACCAAUUCCAAAAACGGAAUGAGGGAUAUUGUCAUUCCAACCUUGUAUUAUAAGCCUGUCAUGUGUUCUAGAAGAAUUGUUCAUGUAGUGAAGGAAUAAUAAGAAAGAAAACACAGCCAAGAGGCCCUGUUGCUGAGUGUUCUUGACAACAGACAACCCCUAAGGAUUCUUGCCUGCAAUCCUGGCUCUGCCAUCAAUUCACCGUAUGCCUUUGGCUACUGGAAAAUUUGAAAUUACACAGGUGCCUGAGAGUCGUGUGAGCCACAGUGUUCUAGAAUGCCUUGAACUAGCAAUUCUAUCACCUCAUUGGCUACAAUCAAACACAUGAACCCACACAAUCCAAAGAAGGCCAGAGAGUGCAAUCCCACAAUGCACCCAGAAGGCAGCAAACUGGAAAUAUUUGGUGAGUAGUCGUAAUAAGUGCCACAGAAAGAGAGAAAGUGAGAGGGAAUGCACAAAUUCUGAAGAGUAGUUUGAGACAAUCUGCAUUAAAUGCAGGAUACUUGCUAUAAGAAAAUUUCCCCCCAAGAUGUAAGUGGCCAGCCUCUAGAGCAACUAAAAAAGUUAUUUGAUGGCCUUGUAACAGCUGAUGGGGAGAAAAAUGUUACAUAUAUUAGGACACUGCAGGCAGAGAAGACAAAGGACCAGCAACAAUUUGAAGAAGGAAAAAGUCAGCACUACUCGCGUACACACACAAGGGCAGACAUUUGCAGAGAUGACAUGUGAACUCACUUUUGAGCUGUUCACUGUGCAAGUCCCCAGGAAGAGAAGCAAUAAGGAUUGGCUGAGCCCUGGAUACUUGUCUCCCAAGGAAAGCUGAGGACUCAGCAACUGUGUGUGUGUGGGUGCAGGUAUGUCCAUACUUACUGGAAAACCUUGAAUUCUGUUCUCCAAAAGCUUUGUCAUCUUCAUCGCCUGGGAAUGGGAUCCCAUGUGAUUUCAAAUUCAUUCUCUUUGCUUGUUUCUGUUGUCAGGUCAUCCUCAACAAACUAAUGAUAUUCAAAAUUACUUGUCAAACUCUUUGCUCAGGACUCAAAGCAAUAUACAGUCAUACUGAUUGCAAUAAGGCAAGACAAGAUAACGUAGUGUGUGUUCUAGAGGCCGGCUGCCUGGGGUCAAAUUGCUAGCUGCACCACCCCUCGCAGUUGCAUAACUGCCCUCUUCCUCCAUCAAUCUAUCUGUAAAAUGGGGAUAAUAUCUGUAUUUAUUUCAUAGGAUUGUGAGCAAAGAUCCAAAUGUGUAAAGAAGUGAACACCCAGCUCGAUUCUGCUACCAAAUUUCAGUUUUCAAAUUUAUAAUAAAAACUAAAAUCAGCCGAGCUGUACUCCACUCUGCAGCUGGUAUUUGGAGAAGCAUUAGCAGAAUUCCCUUCAUCCUUGCUCAUCCUUUCCCUUAAAAGAUCUCCAGUCUGGAAAUGUGAUUUUCCUCCUUACAUCUGCACAAGCCACUGACUUGUCAGGAUUAAAAUACAAAAGACUUUCACAUUUUUGCAUCUUUGUCUCCUGAAUUAGCACUCCACUUCUGAAUUUAAGGAACCAUAGCACCGUUCAGUGUUUUAAGAGUGAGUAAAAUAUAUAAAAAAUAGAAUGGCUUUGACAAGUUAACAUCAAUUUGAAUGAGACCCGAAAAAUGAAAUUCUGUAGAUGAGUGCUUUCAUUUCAAAUGGCUUUACCGGUUUUCAAAUGAUUACACAAUUUUGUCUCAUUCCCUUCAAAUUUACAAAUUAAUAUUUUUAAGAGACGGAGUUAAUAACCAGUUGAGUUAAAACGUAUUAAAAACUAUAAAGGUUUCUUCAAUUGAAGUUCGGAGUUUUGCUAUAUAAAACUGACUUAGAGUUACCAUAAAAAUAGCAAUAUCAUGCAAUACCAUGUUUAUAUUUCGCAGUUCAAUUGCUUUUUAUUUUCAGAGUGUAGGCCACUAAGACAUGCCUGAAUGAAAUUAGCUAGGAGCCAAAUAAUUAAUCCAACAUUCAUCCAAAAUGCUGAACUAACUUACAUAAUUCUUCAAAUGAAUAUCAUACCUUGAUGGUGAUAUACAAAUUGUUUUGAACCUUAGGCUUAAAACGGUAUUCUGAUUAAUCAAAAAGAACACCUUGUAAUUUGUUACAUGUGUAAUGUAGCUACCCAACUCCUUGAAUAUUUUAGCAAAAUACUUGUAAAAUUGCACCACCAAAACCAUACCUCCACCAACCAAGAGUGAAAGAUGGUGCCAACACCAACAGAAGGUAAGAGAAGGAUAAAUUUCAAAAGAUUCUAGCUGUUUCUGUACCCUCCGCACCCUCAAAGUGAAAUCAAGAAUUGAAAGGGAUUUUAGGCUUCAAGUUCAAUUAAAAUAAACACUUUAGACUUAAUUAUUUUACUAUUUAGAGUGAAAAAUAGAAUUUUUUUGCGUCAAGUGUUUUGGUUCUUCGCCUCCUCUUUACUUUUUUGGUAUGUGUGGUCUUAUUUUAAAGUUCCAUUGAGGCAAUACACAUAUGCCAACCAGAAAAUGCAGAUAUUAAGGGAUUUUAUUCAUAACAGGCUAAUUUGUCUCUUGUGAAAGAUAAAAGCACUUUGAAGUUGAUGAGUCUAUGAUUUUAAGUAAAAUCCUCAUUCAAAUGUGAUUGCUUUAUAGGUUUCACUCUGGUCAGAGUAAUUUGUGUUCUUCCUAUAUAUUACUCCAACUAUAAUAAAGCUGUUUAUGCAAAUGUGAAA